GGGUGAUUAGCUCAGUUGGGAGAGCAUCGCCCUUACAAGGCGAGGGUCAAUGGUUCAAGUCCAGUAUCACCCACCA
Molecule: transfer RNA, 76 nt
Filed under: Pseudoalteromonas sp. SG41-1
Lineage: Bacteria; Pseudomonadati; Pseudomonadota; Gammaproteobacteria; Alteromonadales; Pseudoalteromonadaceae
Description: tRNA-Val
Rfam family: tRNA
About the family: Transfer RNA (tRNA) molecules are approximately 80 nucleotides in length.
Source: RNAcentral